UAGUAACUUGAGGACCCUGAU
RNAcentral lists this non-coding RNA (21 nucleotides) under Rattus norvegicus (Norway rat). The record is from RNAcentral. Lineage: Eukaryota; Metazoa; Chordata; Mammalia; Rodentia; Muridae.